Molecule: RNA transcript, 3386 nt
Organism: Cebus imitator (Panamanian white-faced capuchin)
Lineage: Eukaryota; Metazoa; Chordata; Mammalia; Primates; Cebidae
Gene name: DDB1- and CUL4-associated factor 8-like
Exons: 2
Source: RefSeq, a predicted model, not a curated record
AACGGGCCUGACCCCUUUCCCAAGCUCUUAGCGCUCAGGUCUUUUCCUUCCACUGACCCGAAGUCAUCGCCGGGAAUACUGGUUGUCCUCUCCUCAGAAGACACACCUUUGCCAUGUAAACUUUAACUUUUCUCAGUCCUUCAGUGAAUCUACAGACCUGUUUUCUCAGGAGCUCAGCCUGGCCUUACUUCAGUGAUAAAAGGAGGAAAGGCUGGCUACAGCAAACAUCAUUCAAGAUGUCCAGCAAAGGGGGCAGCACAGAUGGCAGAACAGACUUAGCUAAUGGAAGCCUGACCAGCAGUCCAGAGGAGAUGUCUGGAGCUGAAGAGGGGAGGGAGACAUCCUCAGGCAUUGAAGUGGAGGCCUCAGACCUGAGUGUGAGAGUUUGGGGAUGAUGGUGGCCCCAACGGCACCAGCACAGAAAGUCAAGGCACAGACACAGAGAGCUCAGGGGAAGAUAAGGACUCUGACAACAUGGAGGACACCGGUCAUUACUCCAUUAAUGAAGAAAAUCAAGUCCAUGACUGCUCAGAGGAAGAGGAGGAAGAAGAGCAGCCUUGGCACGGUAUACAGAGCAAGCAGGCUAACCAUGACCAGGAUUCAUCAGAUGAUGAGUGUGCCCUAGAGGACUGGGUGUCCUCAGAAACAUCAGCUCUACCCCGACCUUGCUAGCAAGCCCUCCCUGCCCUUGGGAGCGGGAGCUGGGUUCAAGUGCCCGCUUUGUCUGUAAGGCCUGUGGGGCAAGAGUCUUUGUGCAGUGUUUCCACCUGCAGCAUAGGCUUAAGGGCCACACUGGUUGUGUCAAUACCCUGCACUUUAACCAGCGUGGCACCUGGCUGGCCAGUGGCAGCGAUGACCCGAAGGUGGUGGUGUGAGAUUGGGUGUGGCGGCCGCCAGUACUGGACUUUGAGAAUGGCCGCAAAAGUAAUGUGUUCCAGGCCAAGUUUCUUCCUAAUAGCGGUGAUUCCACUCUGGCCAUAUGUGCCUGUGACAGGCAGGUUUGGGUAGCAGAAUUGUCUGCCACACAGUGUUGCAAGAAUACGAAAUGUGUGGCCCAGCACAAGGGAGCGUCUCACAAGUUGUCUCUGGAACCAGACUCUCCCUGUAUGUUCUUAUCUGCAGGUAAAGAUGCAGUUGUUUUCACCAUUGACCUGAGACAAGACCCCCAGCUUCGAAACUGGUAGUAACAAAAGAGAAAGAGAAGAGUGAGGCUGUAUACAAUCUAUGUGAAUCCUGCCAAUACCCACCAGUUUGCAGUGGGCGGACGAGAUCUGUGUGUAAGGAUUUAUGACCAGAGGAAAAUUGACGAGAAUGAGAACAAUGGAGUCCUCAAAAGUUCUGCCCUCAUCACCUGGUGAACAGUGAGUCCAAAGCAAACAUCACCUGUCUUGUGUACAGCCGCGAUGGCACAGAGCUCCUGAUCAGUUACAAUGAUGAAGACAUUUACCUCUUAAACUUCUCUCACAGUGAUGGGGCCCAGUAUGUUAAGAGAUAUAAGGGCCACAGAAAUAAUACCACAGUAAAAGGCAUCAAUUUCUAUGGCCCCAAGAGUGAGUUUGUGGUGAGCAGUAGUGACAGUGGGCACAUCUUCCUCUGGGAGAAAUCAUCCUGCCAGAUUAUUCAGUUCAUGGAGGGGGACAAGGGAGGCGUGGUAAACUGUCUUGAGCCCCACCCUCACCUGCCUGUACUGGCAACCAGUGGCCUAGGCCACGAUGUGAAGAUCUGGCCACCCAUGACUGAAGCUUCCACUGAGCUGACAGGGUUAAAAGAUGUGAUUAAGGCCGGGUGCACGGGGCAGGGUGAAGACGGCUUGUACCACACUGACCUAUUUGAUAGUACAUGCUGUGCUUCCUCAUGCCUCACCUGAGACAGAGACACCAUCACCAGCGCUGGUGAAAACCUGGGGUUGGGGCCACAGACGCGGACUCUGAUGAGUCUCCCAGCUCCUCAGACACAUCAGAGGAGGAGGAGGGCCCUAAUCGAGUGCAGUGCAUGCCAUCUUGAAGCCUCAUCCCUAGGUGGGGUGGGCUGGGGCUGCCAACCUGAUCCUGCCUGGGCAACCCUUUCCUGUCCCAGGCACUACAUUCAGCAGAAACACACUUUGGACUUUUUGCUUUAGAUAAAAGAAAGACAUCCCAGGAGAAAGGACAAACCAGAGGAGUGAACCAACACAGAGUACCUAGGAAUGGGAGGGGAGCCCUGGAAUGGGCCUCCAUGGAGAGGUGCAUAGGCCUCAGCAGAAAUGGCCUCUCCCCAAAGCCUCUUUUUGAGAGAGGGAAGGCUAUUUUGUUAACUUGUUUGGGAUACGGAAUGGGGUUUCUUUUUCUUUAAUCUCCCUUGUUUCUUGGGCAGAGAGGGCGGGGGGAAGCUACUCAGUACCAAAGGGCGAGUGGCAGGUAAGAGUGCCACUCUCUCUUUGGUUUAGGUUUUUGACCUAUUCUUCCUUUGUUUUUCAAAAGUCUAUGACAGUUGGGUAUUUUUCUCCCCUCAGCAACCCCAUCCCAGGAUCCUGUUUUUCUGGGAAGUCCUUAAAGCCCCUAACCACCCCACACUCUUCACUUCCCCUCCUCCUCAUGCAUUCUCUGUACAUAUCACAGUGUUCUGCACUUGAUGACAUAUCCUUCACUCUCUUCUGUUCAUCCCAACACCCCUUAAAUAGGUCAGGUGAGGGAGGCUGGGGAGAGGUGGGAGGAGGGGCAGAAGUGAAGGAGGGAUAGGAAGGAUGCUACCUCUUCUGUUAUCUUUUAAAAACAACAUGGUUUGGUGGCAGCAAUCUCCCUGUCCCUAUCACUGUUAGAGGCCUAAUUUUCUAUCUAUAUUAGAAAGCAAGUCAAACUUGGAUGUAUCAAGGCAAAAUUACUGUCCAAGUUUAAAUACCUAUAUAUUCUCUAUGAAUGCAAUAAAGGGACUUAAAGGGAAAAAAAAAAAAAGGUUUUGUUGCUGCACAAUAGCCAAAAAAAAAAAAAGACAGUCAACCUUAACUUUUCCUUAAAUAACAAUGAAUUCAACAUGAACUAUGAUGCAAGUUCCUUCACACUGGUCUGAACUUCUCCACUAAAAUAAGGCAGGUGGAAUAAUCCCGACAAUAAAUAUCAACCAAAAAGGUUUUGACCUACACAAGCAUGGUCUUUGUAUACGGCCUGCUGGUACACUCUUUCACCACUAGGGGACGUUCCAACAUUAGUAAGGAAAAAAGGCUGAGUUACAAUAAGCCUUAAUAAAUAGAACUGUUACAGUUAUCCGAAGUGAUCAAGAAUGAUUAAAGAUGAGAAAUGGUCUCAAAGAACUAAAAAUAGAACUACUAUUCGACCCAGCAAUCCCAUUACUAGGUAUAUAUCCAAAGGAAAACAAAUCAUUCUACAAAAAAGACACAUGUACUCAAAUGC